GGCUAACGCUGGCGGCGUGUCUUAGCCAUGCAAGUCGAGCGGACUUAUGGGGUAACUUAUAAGUCAGCGGCGGACGGCGGAGUAACACGUAGCUAACCUACCCUCUGGACGGGGAUAACCUACCGAAAAGGUGGGCUAAUACCCGAUGUAGUCAUCCUGUAUAGGGGUGAUGAAAGGUGGGCUUCUGUUUACAAGCUCAUGCUGGAGGAGGGGGCUGCGGCCUAUCAGGUAGUUGGUAGGGUAAUAGCCUACCAAGCCGAUGACGGGUAGCCGGCCUGAGAGGGUGACCGGCCCGAGGGGCACUGAGAUACGGGUCCCACUCCUACGGGAGGCAGCAGGCUAGAAAUUUGGGCAAUGGGGGAAACCCUGACCCAGUGACGCCGCGUGCAGGAAGGAGCCCUUCGGGGUGUAAACUGCUGUCGUGUAGGGAGAAGGGUACUAAGGUGAACAAUCUUAGUACUUGACGGUACUACAGGAGGAAGCCCAGGCUAACCUCGUG
RNAcentral lists this ribosomal RNA (499 nucleotides) under uncultured bacterium. Its description in RNAcentral is "bacterial SSU rRNA". It matches the Rfam family "Bacterial small subunit ribosomal RNA", at positions 28 to 507 of the family's 1533-position model. The record is from RNAcentral.